This 433-nucleotide ribosomal RNA is filed under the name uncultured bacterium. Its description in RNAcentral is "partial 16S ribosomal RNA". It matches the Rfam family "Bacterial small subunit ribosomal RNA", at positions 29 to 507 of the family's 1533-position model. The record is from RNAcentral.
AACGAACGCUGGCGGCAGGCCUAACACAUGCAAGUCGAGCGCGCCCUUCGGGGUGAGCGGCGGACGGGUGAGUAACGCGUGGAAACGUGCCCUUCUCUGCGGAAUAGCCUCGGGAAACUGAGAGUAAUACCGCAUACGCCCUUUGGGGGAAAGAUUUAUCGGAGAAGGAUCGGCCCGCGUUGGAUUAGGUAGUUGGUGGGGUAAUGGCCCACCAAGCCGACGAUCCAUAGCUGGUUUGAGAGGAUGAUCAGCCACACUGGGACUGAGACACGGCCCAGACUCCUACGGGAGGCAGCAGUGGGGAAUCUUAGACAAUGGGGGCAACCCUGAUCUAGCCAUGCCGCGUGAGUGAUGAAGGCCUUAGGGUUGUAAAGCUCUUUCAGCUGGGAAGAUAAUGACGGUACCAGCAGAAGAAGCCCCGGCUAACUCCGUG